GGCGAGAAGCAGUUUUAGCCCAAA
RNAcentral lists this non-coding RNA (24 nucleotides) under Arabidopsis thaliana (thale cress). The record is from RNAcentral. Lineage: Eukaryota; Viridiplantae; Streptophyta; Magnoliopsida; Brassicales; Brassicaceae.